RNAcentral lists this ribosomal RNA (254 nucleotides) under uncultured bacterium. Its description in RNAcentral is "partial 16S ribosomal RNA". It matches the Rfam family "Bacterial small subunit ribosomal RNA", at positions 524 to 776 of the family's 1533-position model. The record is from RNAcentral.
UACGGAGGGUGCGAGCGUUGUCCGGAAUCAUUGGGCGUAAAGGGCGCGUAGGUGGCCCGGUCAGUCUUUGGUGAAAGCGCGGGGCUCAACCCUGCGUCGGCCAGGGAUACUGCCGCGGCUGGAGCACUGUAGAGGCAGGCGGAAUUCCGGGUGUAGCGGUGGAAUGCGUAGAGAUCCGGAAGAACACCGGUGGCGAAGGCGGUCUGCUGGGCAGUUGCUGACACUGAGGCGCGACAGCGUGGGGAGCAAACAGG